RNAcentral lists this ribosomal RNA (429 nucleotides) under Teyl sp. MYG053. RNAcentral's name for it is "partial 16S ribosomal RNA". It matches the Rfam family "Archaeal large subunit ribosomal RNA", at positions 1924 to 2666 of the family's 2987-position model. The record is from RNAcentral. Lineage: Eukaryota; Metazoa; Arthropoda; Arachnida; Araneae; Anamidae.
UGAAAGAAAAAAUUUUCAGUAUUUCCUGCUCAAUGAAUUUUUAAAUAGCCGCAGUUAUCCUGUGCUAAGGUAGCAUAAUCACUUGCCUAAUAAUUAUAGGAUAGAAUGAAAGGAAAACCAUGUGAUCUUCUUUAUCAAAAGGAAAAUUUUAAUUUAUAGAAUAAGUAAAAACUCUUAUUUUAUAAGGGGGACGACAAGACCCUAUCAAACUUUACUUUUAUGUUUAGCUGGGGCGGCAAGGUAACUAUAUCUUUCUAAAAAAAUACUUCUAUUAACCUCCCCUUAGAUUCACCAAGUUACUGUAGGGAUAACAGCAUAAUUUUUUCCCGAAGACCUUAUAAAAGAAAAAUUUUGUGACCUCGAUGUUGAAUUAAGUACCUUUUAGAAGUAGUAUUCUAAAAAGGAAGUCUGUUCGACUUUUAAAUUCUU